Molecule: long non-coding RNA, 338 nt
Filed under: Pan troglodytes (chimpanzee)
Lineage: Eukaryota; Metazoa; Chordata; Mammalia; Primates; Hominidae
Description: lincRNA
Source: RNAcentral
UUCUCCCAGAAGAGAAGGGAGAGCACAUGCCCAGGCUCCAUGGAGUUCCGGUUCUCCCCUCCCUUCGCACCCCCACAAUGAGGUCACGACGGGAUGCCACCACCAGCUGGUCCCUUCCAAAGCUCUGUCUGAACUCCACCAGCCUUGCUUCUGGCCUCAUCCUGCAGAUCCAGGGGACACCUCCACUUGCAAGUUCAGUCCAUGGGCACUGCACACUCUCUCGGCCCCAAAUUGAACCCCUUUUCCUCACCCAAUAUCCUCCAUUUCAACAAAUGGCAGCGUUGUGGGUAAAAUAACACCUCCUUCAGAGACAUUGACAUCCUCACCCCUGACUUUGG